This 702-nucleotide ribosomal RNA is filed under the name Mycobacterium sp. RNAcentral describes it as "bacterial SSU rRNA". It matches the Rfam family "Bacterial small subunit ribosomal RNA", at positions 115 to 831 of the family's 1533-position model. The record is from RNAcentral. Lineage: Bacteria; Bacillati; Actinomycetota; Actinomycetes; Mycobacteriales; Mycobacteriaceae.
ACGUGGGUGAUCUGCCCUGCACUUUGGGAUAAGCCUGGGAAACUGGGUCUAAUACCGGAUAGGACUACGGCCUGCAUGGGUUGUGGUGGAAAGCUUUUGCGGUGUGGGAUGGGCCCGCGGCCUAUCAGCUUGUUGGUGGGGUGAUGGCCUACCAAGGCGACGACGGGUAGCCGGCCUGAGAGGGUGACCGGCCACACUGGGACUGAGAUACGGCCCAGACUCCUACGGGAGGCAGCAGUGGGGAAUAUUGCACAAUGGGCGCAAGCCUGAUGCAGCGACGCCGCGUGGGGGAUGACGGCCUUCGGGUUGUAAACCUCUUUCAGUAGGGACGAAGCGUAAGUGACGGUACCUAUAGAAGAAGCACCGGCCAACUACGUGCCAGCAGCCGCGGUAAUACGUAGGGUGCGAGCGUUGUCCGGAAUUACUGGGCGUAAAGAGCUCGUAGGUGGUUUGUCGCGUUGUUCGUGAAAACUCACAGCUUAACUGUGGGCGUGCGGGCGAUACGGGCAGACUAGAGUACUGCAGGGGAGACUGGAAUUCCUGGUGUAGCGGUGGAAUGCGCAGAUAUCAGGAGGAACACCGGUGGCGAAGGCGGGUCUCUGGGCAGUAACUGACGCUGAGGAGCGAAAGCGUGGGGAGCGAACAGGAUUAGAUACCCUGGUAGUCCACGCCGUAAACGGUGGGUACUAGGUGUGGGUUUCC